This is a non-coding RNA of Crenichthys baileyi (White River springfish), 75 nucleotides long. NCBI's taxonomy places the organism in Eukaryota, Metazoa, Chordata, Actinopteri, Cyprinodontiformes, Goodeidae. The record is from the annotation of a GenBank genome assembly.
GGCACAGUGUUACAGUUGAUAGCACUUUAGCCUUUUAGCACGAAGGUCCUGGGUUCGACUCCCAGCCUGGGGUCA